GUCUUUCCCCCUCACUAGAGGAUUUGAAAGAAUCAGACUCAGAGUUAGAAUCAGAAUCUUGGACCUAGCUUGCCUUUAAUUUCUCAUUCAAUUUCUUUGAAAGAGCACCAGAAGCCACUAUUUUUUGAGCGAGCAUUUUUACUUUCCUUCGCCUGGAUUGGGAAGUUGUGCUAGGUGGAAGAGAGGCAGAUGAAUCAGAGGGAGUAGGUUGUGGAGGAGUUCCUGGGUUGUCUUGUGGGUUCGUCAUUGUAGCUUAUUGCUGGAGAGAAUUGGUGAAUUAAACCUCUGGAGAAGAAGCAAUUGAGAGUGAAGAAGAGUUUUUGAUGGUUUAGAAUUAUGAAGAUGACAUGAAGUAAUAAUGUGUAUUUAAAGAGAAAGACGCAUUUAAUGCAUAACAACAGCUUUAGCAGUUAACUAGAGGUCUAAUCAACCAGAAAUUGCAGGUUGAAUGAACAGUUAAGCUUUCCCAAAUUUUAGGCAAUUUUUGGGUUAGAAUUCUAAGAACGCCGGAACUGGUUUAAAAAACAACCGGGUAAAAUUUUCUAAGGAGUUGAAC
This 556-nucleotide long non-coding RNA is filed under the name Nicotiana benthamiana. RNAcentral's name for it is "long non-coding RNA (NBEN_LNC022836)". Lineage: Eukaryota; Viridiplantae; Streptophyta; Magnoliopsida; Solanales; Solanaceae. The record is from RNAcentral.